UACGGAGGGUGCGAGCGUUGUUCGGAAUCACUGGGCUUAAAGCGCGUGUAAGCGGGUCGUUAAGUGUUGAGUGAAAUCCCUCGGCUCAACCGAGGAACUGCUCGGCAAACUGGCGGUCUUGAGGCAAAUAGAGGCGACUGGAACGACUGGUGGAGCGGUGAAAUGCGUAGAUAUCAGUUGGAACGCCGGUGGCGAAAGCGGGUCGCUGGGCUUGUCCUGACGCUGAGACGCGAAAGCGUGGGUAGCAAACAGG
This 253-nucleotide ribosomal RNA is filed under the name uncultured bacterium. RNAcentral's name for it is "partial 16S ribosomal RNA". It matches the Rfam family "Bacterial small subunit ribosomal RNA", at positions 524 to 776 of the family's 1533-position model. The record is from RNAcentral.